UUUUUCUUGUCUUCUUUUUUUUCUUUCUUAGCUUGAAGUUUUCCCCCUGUUACUGGCUUUUCUGCGCUUCCUUUUUUGGGAGCUUGGAGUUUUUCCUCUGCAACUGGCUUGUCCGUGCUUUCUUCACAUCUUCUACAUGGAGGUAAUAGAGGCGCUGGGCAUGGGCAGGCAGGCAUUUCUGGUUCGGGUUCCGGUGGAGGAGUAGGGGUCUUCCUCUUCGGACAUGGGGGUAGAAGUGUAUAACAUGGCGGUCUUACCGGCGUCCGAUCAUCUGUCUGUGGUGCAGCAACGACGUUUUUAGUUUUACCUUUAUCGGCCAUGAUGUUUAGAUUAUUGUUUAGAGUCUGUGAAACAGUGCUAUUUCUCUAGACGGCGGCCAUUGAAUAGUAAAGGAAUAUUUACGCGGCUAAUCAAAGGCGAAAAUGACGUCACGUUUCAAUAUAGAUGGCUUAGAGAUUA
Non-coding RNA from Biomphalaria pfeifferi, 459 nucleotides. The record is from the annotation of a GenBank genome assembly. NCBI's taxonomy places the organism in Eukaryota, Metazoa, Mollusca, Gastropoda, Planorbidae.